RNAcentral lists this non-coding RNA (20 nucleotides) under Leishmania donovani. The record is from RNAcentral. Lineage: Eukaryota; Euglenozoa; Kinetoplastea; Trypanosomatida; Trypanosomatidae.
AAUUCAGUCUGUCAGAAUGU